AUGCUUGGACGAAUCUUGCACUUCCCUCGUGGGAAUAAGAAUCACGUAGUACUAGACGUACAAAUAUGGAGUUCUGACUCACUGCAUACACAUACACAUACACAUACAUGCACAUACACACACACAUACACAUACACAUACACAUACACAUACACAUACACAUACACAUACACAUACACAUACACAUACACAUACACACACACAUACACAUACACACAUAUA
Non-coding RNA from Paramuricea clavata, 222 nucleotides. The record is from the annotation of a GenBank genome assembly. NCBI's taxonomy places the organism in Eukaryota, Metazoa, Cnidaria, Anthozoa, Malacalcyonacea, Plexauridae.